This 484-nucleotide ribosomal RNA is filed under the name uncultured bacterium. Its description in RNAcentral is "partial 16S ribosomal RNA". It matches the Rfam family "Bacterial small subunit ribosomal RNA", at positions 29 to 507 of the family's 1533-position model. The record is from RNAcentral.
AUUGAACGCUGGCGGCAUGCUUUACACAUGCAAGUCGAACGGCAGCGCGGGCUUCGGCCUGGCGGCGAGUGGCGAACGGGUGAGUAAUACAUCGGAACGUGCCCAGUAGUGGGGGAUAGCUCGGCGACAGCCGGAUUAAUACCGCAUACGACCUGAGGGUGAAAGCGGGGGAUCUUCGGACCUCGCGCUAUUUGAGCGGCCGUUGGCAGAUUAGCUAGUUGGUGGGGUAAAGGCCUACCAAGGCGACGAUCUGUAGCUGGUCUGAGAGGACGACCAGCCACACUGGGACUGAGACACGGCCCAGACUCCUACGGGAGGCAGCAGUGGGGAAUUUUGGACAAUGGGCGAAAGCCUGAUCCAGCAAUGCCGCGUGUGUGAUGGAGGCCUUCGGGUUGUAAAGCACUUUUGGCGGGAACGAAAAGGACUGUGCCAAUACCACGGUUCGAUGACGGUACCCGCAGAAUAAGCACCGGCUAACUACGUG